This 463-nucleotide long non-coding RNA is filed under the name Ricinus communis (castor bean). RNAcentral's name for it is "long non-coding RNA (RCOM_LNC002144)". Lineage: Eukaryota; Viridiplantae; Streptophyta; Magnoliopsida; Malpighiales; Euphorbiaceae. The record is from RNAcentral.
CCACUUGUGAAUUGUAAAAAUACCAAACAGUUUAAUCAAUGUCUCCUUUUCUCCUUUCCUGUCAAGAAUACCAACAAUAUUAGUAGACUUUACAAAUUUCUACAAGUGUGACUCUGCAAUAAAAACUAAGUUAUACAAUACUUUUAUGUCUUUUUUAAGUCCUUUAAUUGUCUGCAUUCUUCCUUUAUCACUUGUAUCCAUCAUAAUUAGAUAAAUUGGCUACUUUCGAGGCAUUGUAGAAGAAAAACUGCUACUUCAGGACCCAUACCCACCGGUAAUAGUAAUAGGCUGUUUCUUUUCCAACAUUAUGUCUAUUUUAAACUUAUCAUCUUUACUUCUUUCUUUUUAUAUUUCUUAACGAGUUCAAAUUACAUUACUGGAUUAUAAUUGUCUGUAGUCUGAAUUGAAACAAACAUAUGACUAGUAAUUAAGAGUCCAUUAGAAUCUAAUAAAAUUUAUUAAA